This 1208-nucleotide long non-coding RNA is filed under the name Homo sapiens (human). RNAcentral describes it as "HSALNT0092181". The record is from RNAcentral. Lineage: Eukaryota; Metazoa; Chordata; Mammalia; Primates; Hominidae.
CUCUGGGUGUCAUUGCAUGUGAAAUGAGUCUCUUGAAAACAGUAUACCAGUGGGUCUUGCUUCUUUUUCCAAGUUGCCACUCUGUGCCUUUUAAUUGGGGCAUUCGUCCAUUUUCAUUCAAGACAGAUGUAAAUAAUUCGGGAGGACCAACCUCUAUCUUUUCUGACCUAUGGCCGGUCAAGAAGCGGGUAGGUUGUUUCCUAAUACACUAUAGGUCAUUGAGAAAGAUGAAGAGAAUGAUGGGCUUUUGUAAUUGGGGAGUGUCCUGCUGGUCUCUGGUCCACGCUGUCUAGUGGUCCAAGUGAGCCUCACCGGUUCAAUAGGAAAUGGGUGCUAUCAUUCAGUACAUGGCAUUGUAUUAUCUUCCCUAGUCUGACUCCACAGCGAGCUCCACUGCAUGCUGGGCACUCUUUACUCAGCAGUUAGUGAAGCAACUUAAGGCAUUACAGAAGAUGGAGCAGAACUGAUAAAUAUGGUUUCCUUGCAAGAGAAAGAGGCAAGGGACAAGACAACCUUGGAUUUUACACUGUAAUUUAACUCUGACUGCUCACUCCACCUACUUAAUUCAAUGGACCCUUCUCCCUCCACCUCUCUAUACCAUCACUUUUCUCACUCAGGAAACUCUACUCCUUCUCAUGUAAGAAAGAUGUUCCUGAAUUAUAUAUCUUCUUGAACAUCCUAAUAUACCAAGCUUUACCCUGAUGUUAAUGAAAGCUUUUUCUGGCUGAGGAGUCAGUUGAGGAUUCAGCUGACUCCAAUUAAAGAGGUAGAAAUAUGGUGAUUAGGGUUCCAAUUGUAGUUCUAAAUCAUAACCAACAAGACUUUGGCUGGUUUCCUACUUUCUACAGAGCAAACAAGCCUGAAAUGCAACAUAUAUUCUUUUUCAAAUUUAUUCUAGAGUAAAACCAGUAAAGCUGUACAUAAGGGAAAUAUAUUCUUUAUAUGAACUUCUCUUUGCUCUCCAUGUUGUUAAAACUUAAUUCUGACACUGAGAACCUUUUGAUACCUUCUUGGGUAGAUUCUUAUCCAAAGGACCUUCACAUAAGAUGGAAAUGUUUCUGGCAGAGUAAACAUGAAGUGGAUGACGCCAUGUCAUCACCCACAGAUGUUAUCCUCUGAUCCCUAAGUUUCUCCCUUGUUAAAAAAGGGGAGAAGAGAUUUUCAUUCAUGUUUUUCUCACUAGAAAAAAAUGACUAGAAAAAGUCUAG